This 256-nucleotide ribosomal RNA is filed under the name uncultured bacterium. RNAcentral's name for it is "partial 16S ribosomal RNA". It matches the Rfam family "Bacterial small subunit ribosomal RNA", at positions 524 to 776 of the family's 1533-position model. The record is from RNAcentral.
UACGUAGGCAGCGAGCGUUGUUCGGAGUUACUGGGCGUAAAGGGUGUGUAGGCGGUUCUUUAAGUUGGUUGUGAAAUCGUCCCGGCUCAACCGGGAGGGUGCGCCGAAUACUGAGGGACUCGAGUGCGGGAGAGGAAAGUGGAAUUCCUGGUGUAGCGGUGAAAUGACGUAGAUAUCAGGAGGAACACCGGUGGUGUAGACGGCUUUCUGGACCGUAACUGACGCUGGAGACACGAAAGCGUGGGUAGCAAACAGG